AACUAAUUAUUCUUUCAUAUUCUUGUUUUAACAAAUAAAUAUAUUGUUGUCCUCUAUCUGUCUAUCUGUCUAUCUAUCUAUUUAUAUAUCCGGUUAAUACGUUGUACGUUUGCCAGACGCUCACACUAUCUGGAGGCAACCCUUAAUUGAGUGUCUUGAAGUUGUUCCAUUGAUUAUGUUGUCCGGUGCGCAUGAAGUUGUUUCCAUGACACGCGCGGACAACAGGACUGGGAUAUAUCCACCCCUCUCUCGGCCAUUCCUCGAAACUGGGGUUGGUCUAAAAUUCCAUUGAUAUGGUGAGAGUGAGUGUCUACACGGCGGGUUAAAAGCACGGGGGAAAGCAGAGGUGGCGGAGAAAGUCGCGUCAGACAGAACGGGAACGGUCGGACGGGACGCUUCGCUAUAGAGUACAACUGGUGUCUCGAGCAACCGAUCUGAAGACUUUGUUGGCAAGCAGGAACACGAACGGUAAGUGUCUCCGAAGUCCGAAAUAUUCUUUGACUUCGAACUGAAUUAUAUUAAACAACUGAACGUUUCUGAACGAGACUGACGAGCAGAUCGGUCUCCGGCUCAAUUAGAAAUAUUGACUGAACUUUCCAUAUGAUUGUCACUAAAUUGAAUAAACCUUUGUAUUUUAACAUUAUAGUUAAUUGAUCGACUCUUUUUUUACCAAAUGCAACAUGCUAGGCUGUUUUGUUUAUUAAUCAGCAGCAUUUUCGUAACGUCGAGGAAGUAAUCUUAGGAACUUUGCACUAAUUACCACAGUAAACUUUAAUUAUUUUAAUUAUGAUUUACAUCAACUGUGAAUGUCUCAAUUUCACUCUGCACUUCAGUAACGAUGCAGUUUUACAUCGCAAAACAAAACGACUAUAUAACAAAAAACUUAUCUCAGUUACACAAUAUGUCCUCUCAUGUUCUCUCCACAAAAGACAGAAAUCCUGCUCCAGCAGUGUACACAGAUGAUUUCAUUUACAGUGAUGUCAGACUCAAACGUGACACGGUUUAAUGAAAGAAGUUACUGACAGACGGUGUAAUACCGUGAUGCAGGGUCUACUAGUCUACUAUUGAAGGAUGCCUGUCAGCGAUAGUAUUAUUGUGAGGUAGGCUGCUAGACAAGCUGAUGGAUGUCUUUCGGCGAAGGCUCAUAGGCAGGUGUGUCUAUCACGUCAGAGCUUACCUGGAUGUGUUGUUCUGGGUGGUAGGCAUGCGGGUGUGGUGCCCACAUCUACACCCAGAGCAGACAGCCGAUAGGACUGAGGUGUUGAUGGACUUAAGAUGUUUGAGGACCCUCUUUUUUAGGGGUGGGGGAAAAAAAUCGAUUUAUCGAUUUCUCUCAAUUCUCUCUAGAACGAUUUUGUCUCGAUUCAGAAAAGUUCAUAAUCGAUUUUUUAAUAAAACAUUUUUUUUGUAAUUUUCUUUAAUUAUCAAGCACAAAGUAGGAAGUGAUUUGAGACUCUGAGUAGCAAACUCAAAUGUUUUAAAAAUCGACAUGCAUCGAUAAUCGUUUUUAUCGGUUUAGAAUUGAUAAUCGAUAAUCGGUUUAGAAUCGAUAAUCGGUUUAGAAUCGAAUCGUUGACCUCUGAAUCGGAAUCGAAUCGAAUCGUGAGGUGCCAAGAGAUUCCUACUUCCUACUCUGUCUGGCAGCCAACUGUAAUCAGUCAUUUCAAGCUCAGGUGAGACCUUAAAGCUGUAGAGAUGUAGGAGGUUGCCGUAGUGACGGUAAGAGGUUGCUGUAGUGACGGUAAGAGGUUGCUGUAGUGACGGUAAGAGGUUGCCGUAGUGACGGUAAGAGGUUGCCGUAGUGAUGGUAAGAGGUUGCCGUAGUGACGGUAAGAGGUUGCCGUAGUGACGGUAAGAGGUUGCCGUAGUGACAGUAAGAGGUUGCCGUAGUGACGGUAAGAGGUUGCCGAAUUCCUUAUCUUGGCACUGUAAUAUUACUUGCCCUUGAUUUUUUAAGCUUUUCAGUAUUUGAGGGCAAACUGCUAAAAGCUACUCUGAGGUAGUCGACAUACACAGGAGGACUAUUCUGACAAUGACUGUUUGCCCUUCCAUGUAGGUGAGCUAAAGAUAUAGUCAUAUGGUGUUAAAUGGCUAAUGAUGGCUAAUGGUGAACGUUUUGAGGCGCACUUGUGAUUUCAGUGAGCCAGAAUCUGACUGGAUGUUAGGGAUGAUGUCACAUCAGGGAUCUUUGCGAAACUGUGUGGUCCUGGGAAAAGGCCUUACCUCUAGCAAUCUUGGAACGUGCCGCUUCGCUGAGGCACGCGGUCCAGGCCAAUCUGGCGAUUUUAUGACUCAACUAUUAGAGAGCGAGUGGUGCCGUUUUCAUGUCUGGAACUCUGGCAGUGGAAUCUCACCAUAGAACUCUCGCAGUGGAAUCCUAACCAUAGCCUUGUGGUUGUUCAUCUCUUGCUUUUAUUGAACUCCAAACGCACAGUGUCCAGGCGUUUGACAGAAAAUGUACUUGCCUCAGCCUUUUCCACUAUUCUUCAACACAACAUCCACUGAAGUUCAUUCAGUUCAUAUUCAGUAGUAGACAGCAAAGCAUAUAACUCAGUGCUCAACAGACGAUGGAAGAAGUCCUCAGCUGGUUCUGGGCGCAUGAGAACAUGUUUGUUUGUGCUCAAACAUGGAUUAGUUGGAUUUAUUGUUUAUAUUUUACAUUUACAUUUAGUCAUUUAGCAGACGCUUUUGGUCCAAAGCGACGUACAAGGGAGAGAACAGUCAAGCUAAGAGCAAUAAAAAACAUGGUGUAACAAUAAAUACUGCUUUACAUAAGAAUUAGAAAAACGACCUAGAAAGGAAAAAGAAGUGCAGGAAUGUAACUGCUGUAAGCGCUAGUCAAGGUGCCAGUUAGGAAGGGAGGUGUGCUCUCUGAAGAGUUGGGUGUUCAAAAGCUUUCUUGAAGGUAGAGAGGGACGCCCCUGCUCUGGUAGUACUAGGCAGCUCGUUCCACCAACGUGGAACUA
Clupea harengus (Atlantic herring) is the source of this 2966-nucleotide long non-coding RNA. The record is from Ensembl. NCBI's taxonomy places the organism in Eukaryota, Metazoa, Chordata, Actinopteri, Clupeiformes, Clupeidae.